This 301-nucleotide ribosomal RNA is filed under the name uncultured bacterium. Its description in RNAcentral is "partial 16S ribosomal RNA". It matches the Rfam family "Bacterial small subunit ribosomal RNA", at positions 509 to 808 of the family's 1533-position model. The record is from RNAcentral.
CAGUCGCCACGGUAAUACGGGGGGGGCAAGUGUUAUUCGGAAUGACUGGGCGUAAAGGGCACGUAGGCGGUGAAAAGGGUGGAAAGUGAAAGUCGCCAAAACACUGGCGGGGUGCUUUCUUGACCAUUUCACUUGAGUGAGAUAGGGGAGAGUGGAAUUUCGUGUGGAGGGAUCAAAUCCUAAGAUAUACGAAGGAACGCCAACCGCGAAGGCAGCUCUCUGGGUCCCCACUGACGCUGGGGUGCGAAAGCAUGGGGAGCAAACAGGAUCAGAUACCCCCGUAGUCCCUGUCUCUUAUACC